CCCCUGCUCAUCCAAUCACCAGUGACAUCCAACGAGAGGAGCUCCAUCGCAUCGCUCCGAUGCCGACGAAAUCCCAGCUAUCCACCUCCAAAUCGGUCAGAUGAUCCGGCCAUUCCCAAACCAAAUGGAUUCGAUUAAGGAAGAGGGUCACGGUAUCUGAAUAAUGCUCCCAAUAAGAAAAGAUAUAGGAAUCUCAUGAUUUUUGAAUUAUUUUUAUUUUUCUAUUUA
Molecule: long non-coding RNA, 228 nt
Filed under: Elaeis guineensis (African oil palm)
Lineage: Eukaryota; Viridiplantae; Streptophyta; Magnoliopsida; Arecales; Arecaceae
Description: long non-coding RNA (EGUI_LNC065831)
Source: RNAcentral